Molecule: ribosomal RNA, 503 nt
Filed under: uncultured bacterium
Lineage: Bacteria
Description: bacterial SSU rRNA
Rfam family: Bacterial small subunit ribosomal RNA
Source: RNAcentral
UAGUCCACGCCGUAAACGAUGGUCACUAGCUGUUUGGGCUUCGGUCUGAGUGGCUAAGCGAAAGUGAUAAGUGACCCACCUGGGGAGUACGUUCGCAAGAAUGAAACUCAAAGGAAUUGACGGGGGCCCGCACAAGCGGUGGAGCAUGUGGUUUAAUUCGAUGAUACGCGAGGAACCUUACCAGGGCUUAAAUGUAAGUUGCAUUAGCUAGAGAUAGCUAUUUCUUCGGACUACUUACAAGGUGCUGCAUGGUUGUCGUCAGCUCGUGCCGUGAGGUGUCAGGUUAAGUCCUAUAACGAGCGCAACCCCUGUUGUUAGUUGCCAGCGAGUCAAGUCGGGAACUCUAACAAGACUGCCGGUGCAAACCGUGAGGAAGGUGGGGAUGACGUCAAAUCAUCAUGGCCUUUAUGCCUAGGGCGACACACGUGCUACAAUGGUGCAUACAGAGGGUAGCGAAGCCGCGAGGUGGAGCUAAUCUCAGAAACUCACUCCCAGUUCGGAUU